AUGACGGACCUUGUGGUUGGCAUGGCCAAGUCGGUGGUGGAUGGGGCACUGAGCAAGGCCCAGGCGGCCAUGGAGGAGGACAAGAAGCUGCGGCAGAGCGCGCAGCGCAACCUGGUGUUCAUCACCGGGGAAUUCCAAAUGAUGCAAUCAUUUUUGAAUAUCGCUGACAGCGAGCGCCUGAAGAAUCCGGUGGUGAGGACGUGGGUGUUGCAGAUCCGCGAGCUGGCCUACGACGUGGAGGACUGCAUUGAGUUCGUCGUCCACCUCGACAAGAAGAACGGCUGGUGGCUCCGCCUGCUCAAGCCCGCAAACAGGCUCAUCAGGCCUUGCGUGGAUCUGAGUGGGGCGGUCUUGCUCGACGCGGCGGUUGACGAGCUGGAGCAGCUCAAGGCCAGGGUGGAGGACGUGAGCAGCAGGAACGCGCGCUACAGACUCAUCAACAGUGACUCCGGGUCCAAGCCGCCGACUGCCACAGAAGAACCGGCUUCACGUGUUACCGUGGGCGUGACGGCAGUCAACAGGCUCAUCGAGGCAGCCAACACUAACCAAGAGGGGCUAAAUAUCACCCACCUACUCCCCAAGGAAGGCCAUAACCUCCGAGUGAUUUCGAUCUGGGGCACUGGAGGUGGUGAUGUUGGUAUGGCAUCCAUCGCCUGGAAUGCCUUCACUGAUGAAGACACCUGCCAAAACUUCGUUUGUCGUGCCUGGGUGAAACUCAUGCAUCCGAUUGAGCCCCAAGAGUUUGUCCGGUCUUUGACGGCUCAGUUCCACGCAAACUCUUGCACAGAGGACCAAGCAUCAUCCUCUGGUGGUGUAAUAAGGAAGACCCAGGCCACACAAGACCCCCUAAAAGAUUUUGAGCGGCUUCUCACAGAGAAUAGGUACCUCAUUGUGUUGGAGGACCUUUCCACCGUGGCAGAGUGGGCUUCUAUCCAGAGGUUCUUUCCAAAAAAGAAGAAUGGCAGCUGCAUCAUCUUGUCCACGCAGCAAUUCGAGGUUGCAAGCUUGUCUGUGGGACGUCCGUACCAAGUAUUGCAUCUCAACCAGCUAUCAGCUGCUGAGCACUCUGCUUAUGCCUUCUUUACAGAGGGAUCUCAGUGCGAUGGAGAAAAAGGCAUCGCCAGCAAGAACACUGUCAACAACUGUAAAAGGGCAGCAGCCAAGACGUGGAUUGAUAAUCAUCCUCUUGUUGGACGUGAGUUAGAGAUGAAGGAACUUCAUAACAAUGUAAUUAGGACACGAGCCAGAGCCUAUCAAGUUAUGUCUGUGUGGGGAUUUACUGGGGUUGGAAAAUCAGCUCUCGUCAAGAGCAUGUUCUGCGACAAAAUUCAAGUGGUGAAGAACAACCUAUUUCAGAAGUAUGGUUGGGUGGAUGUAUCACAUCCUUUCAGUUUAUGGGACUUCUCUCGAACCUUACUUUCGAAUUUUGGUUCUGAAAAACUUCAAGACACUGAGCAUACAUACUUAUAUUCAAUGGGAAGCACAAAUCCUGUUACACAGUGCCGUGAGAUUCUGAAAAAACAAAAAUGCAUGGUUGUUAUAGAUGGACUGCAGUCCACAAAAGAGUGGGAUCUCAUAAAAACUCAGUUGCUGCCUGAAUCUAAUCGUUGGAAUGUUAUUAUAGUCGUUACAACUGAAAAAGAAAUUGCCAGUCAUUGCCAUGGAGAUAAGGGACACGUGUUGUUUAAUGUCAAAGGUCUAGAUGACGACACAGCCGUUGAACUGUUCGAAAAGGAAUCAAAGAAGUAUAAAGUGGCAGAGGAUAAAGUGGCAGAGAUACGAGAACUUACUUCAAUAUGUGGUGGACUUCCCAAAGUAAUAGUUGAGAUAGCUCGCUCAUUCGCCAAAAACACAGAUCGAUGGAAACUUGCACUUUCUGAGAAUAACAAAUUUAUGUUAGAGCUGGAGAAAAAUGGAGAGUUUCUCAGUCUGAGGAGUCUAUUGGAUUGGAUGAAUUCGUCCUUUCGCAAAUACUCAGAUUCUAUCAAGUCAUGUAUCUUAUAUUUACCAGUUUUCCCGAGAAACCACUUUAUUCGGCGGAGACGACUAGUAAGACGGUGGAUUGCUGAGGGUUACUCCAGGGAUAACCAUGAUGAAUCUGCAGAGACAAUUGGGGAGAAGCAAUUCAAUGACCUCAUUGAUCUGAGAAUAAUCCAACAGCCAUCCAUGUUGGGUUUGGGUGACACAAGGAUGGUGGUUUGCCAAGUCAAUGGCUUCUUUCGUGAGUACAUUGUCUCACACCAAAUGGAAGAGAACCUUGUGUUUGAACUAAGGGGCAGUUGUGCCUUAACCACCCAACGCACAGGGCGUCAUCUUGUGAUAUCAAAAAGCUGGGUCCGAGAUGGAAUUGUUUUUGAGAACAUUGACUUCUCUCGGCUCCGUUCACUAACAGUGUUCGGAACAUGGAAAUCCUUCUUCAUUUCUGAAGGUAUGAAGCUGCUUCGGGUUCUUGAUCUAGAAGAUGCUUCGGAAGUAGAGUAUAAUGAUCUCAAGAAGAUGGUGAAGUUCAUGUGUCGCCUCAAGUUUCUCUCACUGCGAGGACGCCGUGAAAUCAAGCGUCUGCCAAGGUCAAUAGGCGGUCUGAAGCAGCUGGAGAGUCUUGAUGUCAGGAACACUUCCAUAGUCACCCUCCCAAAGAGCAUCAUCAAGUUAGAGAAGCUGCAAUACAUCCGUGCAGGCACCAAGGCGCCCUCAAAGAAAACAGCAACACCACAUCGUUUAGGGUACCAACUGUUCAAUUACUCAAGUGGUUGUCACGCAGUUGGUAUUGUGGUGCCUCCAGGGAUCGGGAAACUGACAGCAUUGCACACGCUUGGUGUCGUCAAUGUCCGUGCUUCAGGGACAAAGGCUGUCCUAGAAGGGCUCAAGAAGCUCACCCACUUGCACAAGCUCGGAGUGUCUGGCAUCAACAAGAGUAACAGUGACAAGUUUUUCCUUGCAAUCUCAGUUUUUGUCCGUCUGGAAUCACUGUCAGUGCAGCUCGAGGAGAACAGCCAAGGUUGUUUGAAUGAUAUAAAACUGCCUUUGAAGGGCCUGCAGAGCCUUAAACUUUAUGGGCUUGGAGACCGGUUGCCAGAAUGGAAAGCACAGCUCACCAUGCUUACAAAGCUGGACUUGGAAAUAGCCAAAUUAACAGAAGAUCGUGUCUCCGUGCAAUUGGAAGGGGUGCAAUCGGAAGGUGUGCAAUCGGAAGGUGUGGCACAGCAAAGACCAAGGGAACAUACUAGUGGCGUCAUCAAGUUCCUAAGCGAGUUGCCACGACUAUGUAUUCUACGUCUUCGUGUCAAUCAUCUUCAGGAUAAUCAGCUCGAUGUGUCUAUCAUUUAUAAUGACCUAGAGGUAGAAUCUUUUGAGAAAUUGAAGAUCUUCGAGAUUGCUUGCAGCUUCAGCAAGGUUACUUUUGGAGAGAAAACAAUGAAAAAACUUGAGCAGCUGAAGGUUGAAUGCUACAGUUGGUCGACUUUCUUGGGCCUGGAGCAUCUAGAUGAACUGAAGGAAGUAUUGCUUAAGGGUCCCAGGGACGAAGAACUGAUGUCUGAAAUCAACACAAAACUUGAGAACCACCCAAAGGUAAAGAAACCUGUUGUGAAGCUGGAGGAACAAACCUCGUCGUCCUGA
RNAcentral lists this ribosomal RNA (3618 nucleotides) under Triticum aestivum (bread wheat). Its description in RNAcentral is "partial small subunit ribosomal RNA". The record is from RNAcentral. Lineage: Eukaryota; Viridiplantae; Streptophyta; Magnoliopsida; Poales; Poaceae.